RNAcentral lists this ribosomal RNA (880 nucleotides) under Calonectria blephiliae. Its description in RNAcentral is "eukaryotic LSU rRNA". It matches the Rfam family "Eukaryotic large subunit ribosomal RNA", at positions 52 to 965 of the family's 3401-position model. The record is from RNAcentral. Lineage: Eukaryota; Fungi; Ascomycota; Sordariomycetes; Hypocreales; Nectriaceae.
GGAGGAAAAGAAACCAACAGGGAUUGCCCUAGUAACGGCGAGUGAAGCGGCAACAGCUCAAAUUUGAAAUCUGGCCCUCGGGUCCGAGUUGUAAUUUGUAGAGGAUGCUUUUGGUGAGGUACCUUCCGAGUUCCCUGGAACGGGACGCCAUAGAGGGUGAGAGCCCCGUCUGGUUGGAUACCAAACCUCUGUAAAGCUCCUUCGACGAGUCGAGUAGUUUGGGAAUGCUGCUCUAAAUGGGAGGUAUAUGUCUUCUAAAGCUAAAUACCGGCCAGAGACCGAUAGCGCACAAGUAGAGUGAUCGAAAGAUGAAAAGCACUUUGAAAAGAGAGUUAAAAAGUACGUGAAAUUGUUGAAAGGGAAGCGCUUAUGACCAGACUUGGACUUGGUUGAUCAUCCUGGGUUCUCCCUGGUGCACUCUUCCAGUUCAGGCCAGCAUCAGUUCGCUGCGGGGGAUAAAAGUUUUGGGAAUGUGGCUCCCUCGGGAGUGUUAUAGCCCAUUUCAUAAUACCCUGCUCCGGACUGAGGUUCGCGCAUCUGCAAGGAUGCUGGCGUAAUGGUCAUCAGCGACCCGUCUUGAAACACGGACCAAGGAGUCGUCUUCGUAUGCGAGUGUUCGGGUGUUAAACCCCUACGCGUAAUGAAAGUGAACGCAGGUGAGAGCUUCGGCGCAUCAUCGACCGAUCCUGAUGUUCUCGGAUGGAUUUGAGUAAGAGCAUACGGGGCCGGACCCGAAAGAAGGUGAACUAUGCCUGUAUAGGGUGAAGCCAGAGGAAACUCUGGUGGAGGCUCGCAGCGGUUCUGACGUGCAAAUCGAUCGUCAAAUAUGGGCAUGGGGCGAAAGACUAAUCGAACCUUCUAGUAGCUGGUUUCCGCCGAA